AUUGAACGCUGGCGGCAUGCUUUACACAUGCAAGUCGAGCGGCAGCGCGGGGGCAACCCUGGCGGCGAGCGGCGAACGGGUGAGUAAUGCAUCGGAACGUAUCCUCGAGUGGGGGAUAACCCAGCGAAAGUUGGGCUAAUACCGCAUGAGCUCUGAGGAGGAAAGCGGGGGACCUGCGAGGGCCUCGCGCUGGAGGAGCGGCCGAUGUCCGAUUAGCUAGUUGGUGGGGUAAAGGCUUACCAAGGCGACGAUCGGUAGCUGGUCUGAGAGGAUGAUCAGCGACACUGGGACUGAGACACGGCCCAGACUCCUACGGGAGGCAGCAGUGGGGAAUUUUGGACAAUGGGGGCAACCCUGAUCCAGCCAUGCCGCGUGAGUGAAGAAGGCCUUCGGGUUGUAAAGCUCUUUCGGACGGAACGAAAUGGGCGGGACUAAUACUCCUGUCUGAUGACGGUACCGUAAGAAGAAGCACCGGCUAACUACGUG
RNAcentral lists this ribosomal RNA (486 nucleotides) under uncultured bacterium. RNAcentral's name for it is "partial 16S ribosomal RNA". It matches the Rfam family "Bacterial small subunit ribosomal RNA", at positions 29 to 507 of the family's 1533-position model. The record is from RNAcentral.